UACGUAGGAGGCAAGCGUUGUCCGGAAUUAUUGGGCGUAAAGAGCGUGUAGGCGGCCAGAUAAGUCCGCUGUGAAAUCUCGAGGCUCAACUUCGAGCUGUCGGUGGAAACUAUCUGGCUAGAGUCCGGAAGAGGAGAAUGGAAUUCCUGGUGUAGCGGUGAAAUGCGCAGAUAUCAGGAGGAACACCGGUGGCGAAGGCGGCUACCUGGACAGAAACUGACGCUGAGGCACGAAAGCUAGGGGAGCAAACAGG
This 253-nucleotide ribosomal RNA is filed under the name uncultured bacterium. Its description in RNAcentral is "partial 16S ribosomal RNA". It matches the Rfam family "Bacterial small subunit ribosomal RNA", at positions 524 to 776 of the family's 1533-position model. The record is from RNAcentral.